Long non-coding RNA from Patella vulgata (common limpet), 249 nucleotides. RefSeq lists it as uncharacterized. The transcript has 3 exons. The record is from RefSeq and is a predicted model, not a curated record. NCBI's taxonomy places the organism in Eukaryota, Metazoa, Mollusca, Gastropoda, Patellidae.
AUAAUAAACAGCCAUUUUUCUGCCUAGAAAGGUUAGCUGUAAAUAUGACAGCAUGUGAUACUGGUUAUGGGGUAUGUAACAAUGGUCUGUCUAGUAUUGGUGUCACGACUCAAACAGCUGCUGAAAUCUGUUCAUUGAUUGAUACAUUUAACACUUGCGCAAGUGCCUUAACAUGUCCAUCAACCGUUAUGGCUUAUUAUAAAGAAGUGUCCACUAAUUUGACAGUUUCGUUUAAAGAGUUACCCUAUU